CGUGACUGUCGAAUCUUAGAUGUGAGCGCCAGCUUCAGGGCACUCCAUGGUUGUGGCUUGUUUCGUUAGAUUUUGCAUAGAAACCAGCAACAAAAUCAAACGCCUCAUGGACAAUCUAUUUCCGUUUCUGAUUUGGCAAUGUGCACACUUGGGUGAGGCACUGUCAGUUCCCUGUGAAGAGGGAGCACCCACUGCAGUAAACAUUUACCGGGAGCCCUCUCCCUGGGCUCCCAUGAGUGGGAGGUAAUUAGCUGGUGAGGCGGAAAACAUAUUUUCACAACAUUUCCCAAGGUUUGCCUUUCCUUUCAUGUAGAGCUCCUUCAAAAUAUUAUCCUCAAACUGCAGUUUGAAAGCUGACCCUUCUAACUCUGCCUUCCCAGAUCUCUUUGAAGUCACAGAACAGUCUGAACACAAAGCAUUUACACAGUCCUGCGGCAGAAAAAUAAACACACAUCCCUCCUGAAGGGAGACCCUGGCUUCCAAGUUUCAGAGCGGAGGUCUGCCAAACAGAAGAGACUGACUGGCAUCCAGGGCUCUUGUUUCCAUCAGGAUUACUCCAGGACGCUUUUUGGUCCUCUGCCUUGCUAGUUCAAAAAAGUCACUGGAAUCCCCUUAAUGCACGCACUGGUUUCUGUGCAAUCGGCACCCACACAAAGUUCCUUGAAUUGUGCUUACGUGUAGAGCAUUGUGAUCUAGCAGGAUGUUAAGUAAACUAUCAUCAGAAACAAGUUUAGGUUCCGCAUGCCAAGAGAUGGACUGUAAACAGACAAUCACAUAGCCACAGCAUUCUGUGUUGCUUUUCCUCUCUGUACACCCAGCAACCGGGCAAAGAACCAGUCACGUAUCAGGUUGCUAAGUGGUGUUGAGUAAAUGAAUGCAUGAACAAACAAAUGAAUGGCACAAACUCUCCUCUCUCACGCUCAGACUUGCAGAGGGAAGCGGAGGGGAAAUCUGCUAGAGCUCAUGCCCUCCUCGGAAUACACGUGUAGCAAACUCGGAGGAAAAGAAGACUGCAUCUCCGGUACAGCCCAUUAUAAGAGAGGAGAAAGGAACAUGCGCCCCACAGCAGGACAAAACCCCAUCAUGAAGAGGAUUUCCCACGAUACAACCCAUCAUCUGAUCCCCCAACACUGCUGAAAGACCACCGGCCCUAGUCUGUCAGGGCUUCAGAUGGCCAGUUCCCCCUCUCAGACUCCUGGGAUGGGAUCACGUACCUGGGAUGGGCCCAGCAACCCAAAGCUGGUGCCAGUGCAACCAGCAGCUACUGAUUAUGCCCAUCCCUUUUAAAAACCACUGCAGUGUCUCUAGCUCCUAAAAGAAGAUAAUUAAGGGGGUAGAAGGCCAUCAGGUGUGAAAGCAUACUUUUCAGGAAGACACCUGGGUCAGUUUCUCAUCUAAUCGUAUCGACCAUAGAGGAGACAGGAAAUAGGUGACUGUUAUCCCUGUGGUUCCCAUUGGGCCUCUGCGGGAAUAAAUGCAGUCUAUUUUCUGGGAGAUCA
Molecule: long non-coding RNA, 1499 nt
Filed under: Felis catus (domestic cat)
Lineage: Eukaryota; Metazoa; Chordata; Mammalia; Carnivora; Felidae
Description: lncRNA (ENSFCAG00000052098.1)
Source: RNAcentral